AGCUCCAAUAGCGUAUAUUAAAGUUGUUGCAGUUAAAAAGCUCGUAGUUGGAUUUCUGGCUAAGUGCGCCUGGCCCGCCUCGUUUUGAGUGUGAGUGCCGGUGCGCGCUUGCCAUCCUCUCGGAUUGGUUUUGUUCUUCACUGAGCGAAACUUCAGUCUGGGUCUUUUACUUUGAAAAAAAUAGAGUGUUUAAAGCAGGCUUUUUGCUGUGAAUACAUUAGCAUGGAAUAAUAAUUUAGGACUUCGGUUCUAUUUUGUUGGUUUUCAGAUCUGAAGUAAUGAUUGAUAGGGAUAGUUGGGGGUGCUAGUAUUCAGCGGCCAGAGGUGAAAUUCUUGGAUUCGCUGAAGACUAACUUAUGCGAAAGCAUUCACCAAGGAUGUCUUCUUUAAUCAAGAACGA
RNAcentral lists this ribosomal RNA (400 nucleotides) under phytoplankton environmental sample. RNAcentral's name for it is "partial small subunit ribosomal RNA". It matches the Rfam family "Eukaryotic small subunit ribosomal RNA", at positions 587 to 986 of the family's 1831-position model. The record is from RNAcentral.